UUUACAACAACUCAGCUCAAUCAGUAGAGCCUGAGAUUUUGAAUCUCGGGGUUGUGGGUUCAAACCCCACAUUGGGCAAAA
This is a non-coding RNA of Podarcis lilfordi (Lilford's wall lizard), 81 nucleotides long. Lineage: Eukaryota; Metazoa; Chordata; Lepidosauria; Squamata; Lacertidae. The record is from the annotation of a GenBank genome assembly.